GGCGUUGCUUUCCUGCCAGCGAGCAUCUCUUAUCUCAUUGGAACCAAUAUUUUUGGGAUACUUGCACACAAAAUGGGAAGGUGGCUGUGUGCUCUUCUGGGAAUGGUAAUUGUCGGAAUCAGCAUUUUAUGUAUUCCUUUUGCAAAAAAUAUCUACGGACUCAUCGCUCCCAACUUUGGAGUUGGCUUUGCAAUUGGUAAGUCACUCAGUCCU
This is a long non-coding RNA of Grammomys surdaster, 213 nucleotides long. RefSeq lists it as uncharacterized. The record is from RefSeq and is a predicted model, not a curated record. The transcript has 3 exons. Lineage: Eukaryota; Metazoa; Chordata; Mammalia; Rodentia; Muridae.